Xiphophorus maculatus (southern platyfish) is the source of this 287-nucleotide long non-coding RNA. RefSeq lists it as uncharacterized. The record is from RefSeq and is a predicted model, not a curated record. Lineage: Eukaryota; Metazoa; Chordata; Actinopteri; Cyprinodontiformes; Poeciliidae. The transcript has 3 exons.
CUAGAGAAGCUGCAGUCGGCUGCUGAGGUGAUCAUCAGCUCCACCAUCAGCAUAGUGAGCAGCAGCAGCAACAUGGACUUCAGAAGUGCCUGCUUGAAACGCAUGAAGGUUCAUGACACUCACGGGUUAUCAGCCUCCCUCAGAGAGUCCCUGUGGAGGGUGUCGUCAUGGAAACGGCUCCCUAAAGCCGGGUGCUAUUCUGCUCAGCAGGUUGAAGAUCAAGCUGCGAGUAACGAGGCCAUCAGAGCUGAAAUCUGACAAAGUUUUUCUUUUUUUUUAAAUUCUGG